UUUAGUCAUCUUCAGUCAUAUGCAUACCUACAUAAAUGAAGAAAACAGGAAUAGGUAGCUCUUCAUACAUGAAGAUGCAGUCAUCUGCAGACAUGAAGAAUGAUGGAUAUAAGUUGCAUAUAUACAGGCAAAUGUAUUACACAAAUAGAUACAGGUAUGCAAAACCAUAUAACUGCAAACUACAUAAUUGCAUUUUCAGAAUCUUCAGGUCUCCACAACAAAAACAGGUCUAGGUAAUUUGCAUAACAGAGGCUCAUAACUGUAGAUCAAUUUAGAUAACUACAUAACAUAUUUUACAACAAAAUAACACACAAGAUUACUUUGUUACGUAAGAAAAUGAGGCAACUCACAAGACAAGGUGAAGAGAAAAACAGAUUUAGCAAGUAUAUAUAUGGAUUGAAAAAAUAAACUACACCAGCACAUGACAUUGGUUACUGAAAAAAUAAAUCGUAACAUUAGAGUCUGAAUCUACAAGGAAUUUUAAUGAAUUAACAAGCUACUCGAUCGAUAACUCAGCAUUUAUGCUGACAGAUACUCAUUUGCUCCAUUGUACUGUACCAUUAGAUGAAGAUGAGCCACUUCCUGAUCUGCUUGAGCUGCUAGCAGCCGGGGAAUCCCUAUGAAUCUCCACUGACCGGUAAUUCACUAUUGGCAUCUCGUCCUCUCAGCCUCCAUUUCUUUCUCCAGAAUGUCAGCCUGGCAAAAAAACAAAACAAAACAUGAUCGACUUACAAGAAAAGCCCACUCGUGUUUCUCUAGGAUAUUUUCUAUGAGCUUGAAGUAACCCACCAAAAAAACAGAAGAAACCACCGGCUAGUAUCCCCU
Molecule: long non-coding RNA, 825 nt
Filed under: Zea mays
Lineage: Eukaryota; Viridiplantae; Streptophyta; Magnoliopsida; Poales; Poaceae
Description: long non-coding RNA (ZMAY_LNC003600)
Source: RNAcentral